UACGGAGGGGACUAGCGUUGUUCGGAAUUACUGGGCGUAAAGCGCACGUAGGCGGAUUUGUAAGUCAGGGGUGAAAUCCCGGGGCUCAACCUCGGAACUGCCUUUGAUACUGCAAAUCUCGAGUCCGGAAGAGGUGAGUGGAAUUCCUAGUGUAGAGGUGAAAUUCGUAGAUAUCGGGAGGAACACCAGUGGCGAAGGCGGCGACCUGGGCCAAUACUGACGCUGAGGUGCGAAAGCGUGGGGAGCAAACAGG
This 253-nucleotide ribosomal RNA is filed under the name uncultured bacterium. RNAcentral describes it as "partial 16S ribosomal RNA". It matches the Rfam family "Bacterial small subunit ribosomal RNA", at positions 524 to 776 of the family's 1533-position model. The record is from RNAcentral.